This 443-nucleotide ribosomal RNA is filed under the name uncultured bacterium. RNAcentral's name for it is "partial 16S ribosomal RNA". It matches the Rfam family "Bacterial small subunit ribosomal RNA", at positions 338 to 795 of the family's 1533-position model. The record is from RNAcentral.
CCUACGGGAGGCAGCAGUGGGGAAUAUUGGGCAAUGGGCGCAAGCCUGACCCAGCAACGCCGCGUGAAGGAAGAAGGCUUUCGGGUUGUAAACUUCUUUUCUCAGGGACGAAGAAAGUGACGGUACCUGAGGAAUAAGCCACGGCUAACUACGUGCCAGCAGCCGCGGUAAUACGUAGGUGGCAAGCGUUAUCCGGAUUUAUUGGGUGUAAAGGGCGUGUAGGCGGGAGCGCCAGUCAGAUGUGAAAACUCAGGGCUCAACCCUGAGCCUGCAUUUGAAACUGUGUUUCUGGAGUGCUGGGGAGGCAAUCGGAAUUCCGGGUGUAGCGGUGAAAGGCGUAGAUAUACGGAGGAACACCAGUGGCGAAGGCGGAUUGCUGGACAGUAACUGACGCUGAGGCGCGAAAGCGUGGGGAGCAAACAGGAUUAGAUACCCUUGUAGUC